GAUGAUGGUGCAGUCAGGGAGGGGCUUUAAGGUCUGAGGACCAGGUCUAGGGCUGACCCAGGCCAACUAGGCAUUGUGAUGUAAGGCUGUAAGGACACGCCAUACUUCUCACUGAAUGAGAUGUGAAGCUCCAGGAAUUAGCUGAUGUGAUAUUGUUAUAUAAUGAGAUGGAAAUCUCUUGGAAACUGGCACCCAGGCAUGCUUCCACGAUAAGGCACAGUUUAUCAAUUUGAUGAUUCAUGGUUGUCUCAAAACCAGCAAGAAUCUCUCAUUGUAAAAACUCUGCAUUUGAACCACACAACAGUACUUUGUUUUACUUCUCUUUUCUCUCUGACUUUCAUAGUAAAUUUCUCACUGAAGUCACCCUGCUGUUACUCCUGGAUGCUUUCUGCCUUUGCCUUUUACAGAAGUGAGAAGAACCAUUAUUACAAUUCUCUUCGAAAACUACUGAAUUAAAAGAAAGACCUGUAGCAAACAUGGUAAAAUCCGGAUGCAAUUGGGGGACUGGAUGCAUGGCAUGACUCCAUACACUCCUGUGAUGCGAUGUGGUCAACCUCAGUCAACGCAGAACUUCACAUGAUAAUGACAGUCAUAAUUACAUUAAGAGCACAUUAACGUGAUAAUUACAUAAUGCCUGUCAUCGCCGACUUAAACGUUUUGCAAAAAUCACUUUACAAAACAUUUAGAUGUCAGCACAUUGAGAUGAAAGAGCUCAAUGUCAUCAUGGAUCGUCUCAAGAGUAGAUAAGCUGAAAAAUCCGCCAAAGAACCUUCAUUAAAAUACAUUGUAAUUUCUGUACGGAUCAUGAGACUGGUCAUCUGCAAUACGGAAGCGGUUUCCUUUUCCAUUCAAUCUACAAAAUGGCUUGCCCACCUUUUUUUCAUGGUAAUUUUUAACAAAAGAGCCAUGACAAUAGGGAGAUAGAAGAUACUCCGGGCAAUAAGGUUAGUUUUGUGUGUGAACCAUAUGAACUAUAUGUGAGCUAUGUGAACCAGAAAAAGUGUAACUCUGAUGUGAAUAUGCUAAAUGUACGAUGUAUUCUGGUGAGGGAAGGAUACCCUUUGUCUUUACUUACUCAUUUAAGUACUUAAUGUUUUCAAAAAUUAAAACGUCAACAAAUUA
Felis catus (domestic cat) is the source of this 1122-nucleotide long non-coding RNA. RefSeq lists it as uncharacterized. Lineage: Eukaryota; Metazoa; Chordata; Mammalia; Carnivora; Felidae. The record is from RefSeq and is a predicted model, not a curated record. The transcript has 2 exons.